The sequence is a regulatory RNA element, 98 nucleotides long. It matches the Rfam family "TPP riboswitch aptamer (THI element)". From Rfam's summary of the family: Vitamin B(1) in its active form thiamin pyrophosphate (TPP) is an essential coenzyme that is synthesised by coupling of pyrimidine and thiazole moieties in bacteria. The previously detected thiamin-regulatory element, thi box was extended, resulting in a new, highly conserved RNA secondary structure, the THI element, which is widely distributed in eubacteria and also occurs in some archaea. The record is from Rfam.
CGCCAUUAGUCGGGGAGCCAAUAGGCUGAGAUCGCAAUAGCGAACCCGUUGAACCUGAUUCAGUUAGUACUGACGUAGGGAACUAAUGGUCCUUUUGA